This is a non-coding RNA of Zea mays, 131 nucleotides long. NCBI's taxonomy places the organism in Eukaryota, Viridiplantae, Streptophyta, Magnoliopsida, Poales, Poaceae. The record is from Rfam.
AUCUUUGCGCUUCAGGUAAUAACGUGGCUUGUGAGGUCAUAAUGAGCAUCAAUUGCUGGUUGAAAGCUAUUUCCAAACCUUCUCUUUGAGACCCUAAGACCACUAAGAAUUUUUGGAAGGGAUCAUACUCU